UCGCAAUGAUGAAGUUUAUUCCUAAGUCAUUCGUAGUUUCCACCUGAGGCUGAAAGGCCUAAGAAGGCACAAGUUCCUUCCUUGGAUGUCUGAGCGA
Erpetoichthys calabaricus (reedfish) is the source of this 97-nucleotide small nucleolar RNA. Its record names the gene SNORD14. It matches the Rfam family "Small nucleolar RNA SNORD14". Rfam says of the family: U14 small nucleolar RNA (U14 snoRNA) is required for early cleavages of eukaryotic precursor rRNAs. The record is from Ensembl. Lineage: Eukaryota; Metazoa; Chordata; Cladistia; Polypteriformes; Polypteridae.